Molecule: ribosomal RNA, 456 nt
Filed under: Escherichia coli
Lineage: Bacteria; Pseudomonadati; Pseudomonadota; Gammaproteobacteria; Enterobacterales; Enterobacteriaceae
Description: bacterial SSU rRNA
Rfam family: Bacterial small subunit ribosomal RNA
Source: RNAcentral
AUUGAACGCUGGCGGCAGGCCUAACACAUGCAAGUCGAACGGUAACAGGAAGCAGCUUGCUGCUUUGCUGACGAGUGGCGGACGGGUGAGUAAUGUCUGGGAAACUGCCUGAUGGAGGGGGAUAACUACUGGAAACGGUAGCUAAUACCGCAUAACGUCGCAAGACCAAAGAGGGGGACCUUCGGGCCUCUUGCCAUCGGAUGUGCCCAGAUGGGAUUAGCUAGUAGGUGGGGUAACGGCUCACCUAGGCGACGAUCCCUAGCUGGUCUGAGAGGAUGACCAGCCACACUGGAACUGAGACACGGUCCAGACUCCUACGGGAGGCAGCAGUGGGGAAUAUUGCACAAUGGGCGCAAGCCUGAUGCAGCCAUGCCGCGUGUAUGAAGAAGGCCUUCGGGUUGUAAAGUACUUUCAGCGGGGAGGAAGGGAGUAAAGUUAAUACCUUUGCUCAUUGAC